ACUGCUAUCUCAGCAAUCAAUUUCGAACCAAGUCAGGUUAGAAAUAAAGCAGCUUUAAGAAAGGGUUUGUGUGAGGUAGCUUUUAU
RNAcentral lists this signal recognition particle RNA (86 nucleotides) under Candidatus Mycoplasma haematobovis. Its description in RNAcentral is "Candidatus Mycoplasma haemobos signal recognition particle sRNA small type". It matches the Rfam family "Bacterial small signal recognition particle RNA". From Rfam's summary of the family: The signal recognition particle (SRP) is a universally conserved ribonucleoprotein involved in the co-translational targeting of proteins to membranes. Lineage: Bacteria; Bacillati; Mycoplasmatota; Mollicutes; Mycoplasmatales; Mycoplasmataceae. The record is from RNAcentral.